UCAUAGACGCGAAACCUAGUGAUCUAGGCCUGUCCAGGCUGAAGCUGAGGUAAGACUCAGUGGAGGGCCGAACUCACCGCCGUUGAAAAGUUGGGAGAUGAGACAGGUCUAGGGGUGAAAAGCCAAUCGAACUAGGAGAUAGCUCGUUCUCUCCGAAAUGCAUUUAGGUGCAGCCUUGAACUGAGAUAUGUGGGGGUAGAGCUCUGUAUGAUCUAGGGGGCGUACUGCUUACCGAAAUCAAGCAAACUGCGAAUACCAUAUAUUAUGUUCAGGAGUGAGUCCGUGGAUGACAAGGUCCUCGGACGAGAGGGGAACAGCCCAGACCGCCAGCUAAGGUCCCUAAUUAUGUCUAAGUGGGAAAGGAGGUGGACAUUCAUAGACAACCAGGAGGUUGGCUUAGAAGCAGCCAUGCCUUGAAAGAGUGCGUAAUAGCUCACUGGUCGAGAGUGCCUGCGCCGAAGAUGUAACGGGGCUAAGACAUAAACCGAAGCUGCGGAAGAUACACCGUAUCUUGGUAGGAGAGCGUUCUGUAGGCCGUCGAAGGGAUGCCGCAAGGCCGUCCUGGAGGUAUCAGAAGCGAGAAUGCAGGAAUGAGUAGCGAGAAGGCGGGCGAGAAUCCCGCCGGCCGGAAGUCCAAGGUUUCCAGGGGAAGGCUUGUCCGCCCUGGGGAAGUCGGGACCUAAGCAUAAGCAAAAUUGUGAUGGCGAAUGGAAAACAGGUUAAUAUUCCUGUACCGCUGUUAUCGCUUGAGAGACGGAGUGACGCAGGAAGGUAUGCGAGAAGGCUGACGGUUUAGCCUUUCUAAGGGCCCAGCGUGGGCGUGCAGGUAAAUCCGCACGCCUAAACGUGAGACCUGACGGGGAAGUGCAUUUGCAUAAGUCGCAGAUCCUACACUGCCAAGAAAAACUUCUAUCGAUGAGAAGCAGCGCCCGUACUGUAAACCGACACAGGUGGACAGAGUGAGAAACUUAAGGCCGACAGGAUAACUCUAGCUAAGGAACUCUGCAAAAUAGCCCCGUAACUUCGGGAGAAGGGGUGCCUGACAUACCUGAAGGAGAGAAGCGCUCCCAGGGGAAACAGGCCGCAGUGAAGAGUCUCAAGCAACUGUUUACCAAAAACACAGGUCUAUGCUAAGCUGAAAGGCGACGUAUAUGGGCUGACACCUGCCCAGUGCCGGAAGGUUAAGAGGAGGAGUGAGAGCUCCGAUUUGAAGCCCCGGUGAACGGCGGCCGUAACUAUAACGGUCCUAAGGUAGCGAAAUUCCUUGUCGGGUAAGUUCCGACCUGCACGAAUGGUGAAAUGAUUUGAGAGCUGUCUUGGCUGGAGACCUGGUGAAGUUGUAAUGCCGGUGAAGAUACCGGCUACCUGCAGUAGGACGGAAAGACCCCGUGGAGCUUUACUGUAGCUUGGCAUUGGGUUCUGGCAAUGUGUGUAUAGGAUAGUUGGGAGACUAUGAUGUGAUGGCGUCAGCCAUUGCUGAGUCGCUGUUGGAAUACCAACCAUAUGCUGUCGGAAUUCUAAUCUGGCAACGGAGACAGUGCUAGGUGGGCAGUUUGACUGGGGCGGUCGCCUCCCAAAGAGUAACGGAGGCGUUCAAAGGUUCCCUCAGGCUGGAUGGAAAUCAGCCUAAGAGUGCAAACGCAUAAGGGAGCUUGACUGCAAGACUGACGGGUCGAGCAGGUACGAAAGUAGGAGUUAGUGAUCCGGCGGUUCCGCAUGGAAGGACCGUCGCUCAACGGAUAAAAGCUACCCCGGGGAUAACAGGCUGAUACUUCCCAAGAGUCCAUAUCGACGGAAGUGUUUGGCACCUCGAUGUCGGCUCGUCUCAUCCUGGGGCUGGAGAAGGUCCCAAGGGUUGGGCUGUUCGCCCAUUAAAGAGGCACGCGAGCUGGGUUCAGAACGUCGUGAGACAGUUCGGUCCCUAUCCACUGCAGGCG
This 1937-nucleotide ribosomal RNA is filed under the name human metagenome. RNAcentral's name for it is "bacterial LSU rRNA". It matches the Rfam family "Bacterial large subunit ribosomal RNA", at positions 707 to 2653 of the family's 2925-position model. The record is from RNAcentral.